CACACACACGCACCUGGUUACAUCCCUGGCAAAGGCAGCUGCUUGCACCUGCUUGCCGAGUUUUGCUGAAGGAACAGGAUGGAGGUUACAAGCUGACUAGAGAUGGAGGCGUUCCUGAACAUCCCUCCGAGAAGGUUGGGGUAUAAAGAGAAUAAACGAAGCUGUGUCCACAGUGUGGGCUGGAAUUCCUGCCGUCUGGUAACAGCAGUGUAAGAACACUAAGCAAGCUGCUCUCAUUUGGAGGUGACUCUUUUUUCAGCAUCGUUGAAGAUAUUACAAGUGAAAAAACCCACCAUUUUCCACAAAACAGUCAUGGGCAGAAAAGAAAAAGGAGAACAACUUUAAUGUUACCAGCUCUUCCAGUUCUCUGGAUUCUCAAAGUCAGAAGGGAGCCCUCAGCUUUGGGGAAGCGCUUGAGGCUAUCUUCCUGUGAUCGACAAUCAACAUCUAGGUCUGGGCAGAGCUUGGUUCCAGAUGGGUGUGUUUUACUAAGCAUCCUCUUUCAGCUACUUCUCAAGGUGAGUGGUGUCUGCCUGAGCAGGGAAAGCAGCCCAGCAGAGGGGUGGGGGCAUGGAGGAAUGGGGCCCUAGCAGAGGAUGUCCGCAGCAGACAAGGCAGGAGGGCGUCUGUCUGUGUGGGAGGUAAAGGGGACAAGGAGCCCCUGCUAAAUGAGAAAAGUGUUCCAAAGCAGGGCACAGUGGCAGUGUGGGCUGCUCAGUCAUAGAGGAGGGCUUCUUAGCAGGUUGUUUGCACACAUGUGAAUGGUGAAUGAUGGGAGCCAGGUACCUUACUGUCGUAGGAGGAAGUUAUAAAUAUGGAGAGGUUGGUAAAGAUGCAUGUGUUUGUGUACACUCACCCACAUUUUAUGAAUCUGAUUGUAAGUACCUGGAUGUGAUUGUAAAUAUAUAUAUGUAUAUAUAUAUAUAUAUAUAUAUAUAUAUAUUUCAAAUAAUGAUGAAAAAUUAGAAGCAGUUGGUAUGUUCAAGGUUGGAGGAUUAGCAGAAAAUAAAUACAUUUUAGAGACUACCCCGAUAGGAAGA
This 1040-nucleotide long non-coding RNA is filed under the name Mus spicilegus (steppe mouse). Its description in RNAcentral is "lncRNA (ENSMSIG00000026728.1)". Lineage: Eukaryota; Metazoa; Chordata; Mammalia; Rodentia; Muridae. The record is from RNAcentral.